AUACGAAGAGUUUGAUCCUGGCUCAGGAUUAACGCUGGCGGCGUGCCUAAUACAUGCAAGUCGAACGGAAGUUUAAUCAAUUAAACUUUAGUGGCGAACGGGUGAGUAACGCGUAAGCAAUCUACCCCUAAGACGAGGAUAACAGUUGGAAACGACUGCUAAGACUGGAUAGUAGACAAGAAGGCAUCUUCUUGUUUUUAAAAGACCUAUUAAUAGGUAUGCUUAGGGAGGAGCUUGCGUCACAUUAGUUAGUUGGUGGGGUAAAGGCCUACCAAGACUAUGAUGUGUAGCCGGGCUGAGAGGUUGAACGGCCACAUUGGGACUGAGACACGGCCCAAACUCCUACGGGAGGCAGCAGUAGGGAAUUUUCGGCAAUGGAGGAAACUCUGACCGAGCAACGCCGCGUGAACGAUGAAGUAUUUCGGUACGUAAAGUUCUUUUAUUAGGGAAGAAUAAAUGAUGGAAAAAUCAUUCUGACGGUACCUAAUGAAUAAGCCCCGGCUAACUAUGUGCCAGCAGCCGCGGUAAUACAUAGGGGGCAAGCGUUAUCCGGAAUUAUUGGGCGUAAAGGGUGCGUAGGCUGUUAAAUAAGUUUAUGGUCUAAGUGCAAUGCUCAACAUUG
This 622-nucleotide ribosomal RNA is filed under the name New Jersey aster yellows phytoplasma. RNAcentral describes it as "bacterial SSU rRNA". It matches the Rfam family "Bacterial small subunit ribosomal RNA", at positions 1 to 617 of the family's 1533-position model. Lineage: Bacteria; Bacillati; Mycoplasmatota; Mollicutes; Acholeplasmatales; Acholeplasmataceae. The record is from RNAcentral.